GAAUUGCAUGUGAUGAAAAGCGUUAUAAUGGGUAAUUUGCGGCUGAAUACCGUGAUGCCACACCUUGGAGACCUGAUGCAAUCA
Picea glauca (white spruce) is the source of this 84-nucleotide non-coding RNA. The record is from Rfam. Lineage: Eukaryota; Viridiplantae; Streptophyta; Pinopsida; Pinales; Pinaceae.